CCUACGGGUGGCAGUAGUCGAGAAUCAUUCACAAUGGGGGAAACCCUGAUGGUGCGACGCCGCGUGGGGGAAUGAAGGUCUUCGGAUUGUAAACCCCUGUCAUGUGGGAGCAAAUUAAAAAGAUAGUACCACAAGAGGAAGAGACGGCUAACUCUGUGCCAGCAGCCGCGGUAAUACAGAGGUCUCAAGCGUUGUUCGGAAUCACUGGGCGUAAGGCGUGCGUAGGCUGUUUCGUAAGUCGUGUGUGAAAGGCGCGGGCUCAACCCGCGGACGGCACAUGAUACUGCGAGACUAGAGUAAUGGAGGGGGAACCGGAAUUCUCGGUGUAGCAGUGAAAUGCGUAGAUAUCGAGAGGAACACUCGUGGCGAAGGCGGGUUCCUGGACAUUAACUGACGCUGAGGCACGAAGGCCAGGGGAGCGAAAGGGAUUAGAUACCCGUGUAGUC
Molecule: ribosomal RNA, 446 nt
Filed under: uncultured bacterium
Lineage: Bacteria
Description: partial 16S ribosomal RNA
Rfam family: Bacterial small subunit ribosomal RNA
Source: RNAcentral